UGGCUCUCGCAUCGAUGAAGAACGCAGCGAAAUGCGAUAAGUAAUGUGAAUUGCAGAAUUCAGUGAAUCAUCGAAUCUUUGAACGCACCUUGCGCCCUUUGGCCAUUCCGAAGGGCAUGCCUGUUUGAGUAUCAUGAACACCUCAACUCUUCAUGGUUUUCCAUGAUGAGCUUGGACUUUGGGGGUUUUGCUGGCCUAUGGUCAGCUCCCCUAAAAUGAAUCAGCUUGCCAGUGUUUGGUGGGCAUCACAGGUGUGAUAACUAUCUACGCUUGUGGUUUUCCACCAGGUAGCCUCCAGCAGUGGAGGUUCACUGGAGCUCACAGAUGUCUCUCCUCAGUGAGGACAGCCCUUUGAAUGUUUGAUCUCAAAUCAGGUAGGACUACCCGCUGA
RNAcentral lists this unclassified non-coding RNA (391 nucleotides) under uncultured fungus. Its description in RNAcentral is "partial contains 5.8S ribosomal RNA and internal transcribed spacer 2". The stretch from base 1 to 134 matches the Rfam family "5.8S ribosomal RNA", at positions 22 to 154 of the family's 154-position model. The record is from RNAcentral. Lineage: Eukaryota; Fungi.